This 3010-nucleotide long non-coding RNA is filed under the name Homo sapiens (human). RNAcentral describes it as "HSALNT0300695". Lineage: Eukaryota; Metazoa; Chordata; Mammalia; Primates; Hominidae. The record is from RNAcentral.
GGAAGAUAGGCAGUUCCAGCCACCAGGUCAGCAUCAUCACGGGGAGCUGAUGGAAUGGCUCUUUGUGGCUGACGUUCAGGGUGAAAAAUCAGGGCGGGCCUGGAGACACCUGCUUAGGAAUAUCAGCCCUCAGACAGAGAGCUCGAUAUGUAGCCAAUGGAGCAAACAUACAGGGGCCAGGCAGAGGAUCUUUGUCCCUUUCUUACUAUCUCUAAUGAAUUAUGUUUCUCUGAGCGUGAUGACUGAUACUCUAUUUACACCUUCCAAAUCUCAUAAACAACUCUUCGGCCACUUUAACUCAGAAAGAUAACAUACGGAGAGCUUUUCAGAAACACAGGGAAAGGUGAUUAUUUAUUUUAACUGUGAAAGGUAAACCAAGAAACUUAUGGGACUUAUAAUGGAAAUUAAUGAUAUUUGGGUAGGCAAAGAUUUCUCAGCUACAAAGAAUGCUAAUCAUAGAGAAAAAUACUGGUUGACUGGACUAUGUUAACAUUAAAAGAUUUUAUUUACCAAAAAACAACCUUAAGAGGGUGAAAGAAAACUUUGUGAAAUAUAUUUAUAAUAUUUAUAACACGUGAAAACUCAUAUUCAGAAUAUUUAGAGAAUUUUUAAAAUAUAAUAAAGAAAAGAGUCCAACCAAAAUUUAAACAAAAACAUCCCCUCAUGUCACACAAAGAAGUAACAUCAAAUUGCCAAUAAGUAUACAAGAAGAUGCUUAAUCGUAUUAGUCAACAAGAAAAUGUAAAUUAAAACUACAAUAAAAUACCACUACAUAUCCAUCAAAUUUUCUAAAAUUAAAAAUAGUCUGGCAAUAUCAUGUGAUUGUGAGGAUGGAGAACCUUUGAAAGUGUAAUAUACUACUGUUGAGAGUGUAUAUUUGUACCACUUUGAAAUGUUGGUGUUGUCUACCAUUUUGCAUGUCCACAUACAUAUAAUUCAUCCAGAAACUUUAGUCCUACAUAUAUACUCCCCACAAUGAGUGUAUAUAUAUUCCAAAAGUGUGUAAAAGGAUGUUUCUAACACUAUUAAUGAUAAUAGUCUCAACUCACAUAUCAAUCAAUAGGGAGUGGAAUGAAUAGAUUGUGGAAUAUAUAUAUGAUGGAAUAUUCUACAGCCAUGGAGAUGAACAAACUAUUAAUGCACACAACAGUAUAGAAUGAAUAAAAGAAAUCUUCUAGAAGAAAAACAUUCUAUGCAAUUUACCACAUAGAAAAUUUAAAAAUCCAAAACUACACUAUGAUGUUAGAAGUCAAGGUGGUGGUUUUCUUUUGACAGAAAGGAGUAGUAUAGGUGGGGAUUGAAGACAGCCUCUGGGGUGCUGAUAAUUUCCUACUUCAUUUGUGGUGUUACACGGAUUUGUUGACUUAAUGUACUUUUAUUAUUUAUGCACAUAUUACACACUUUAGUGAUAUGUUUGAUACAAAUAUUAUAUCCAAGACUUAAUAGUCCUAGAAUCGGCCAGGCACGGUGGCUCACGCCUGUAAUCCCAGCACUUUGGGAGGCCGAGGCGGGCGGAUCCCGAGGUCAGGAGAUCUAGACCGUCCUGGCUAACACGGGGAAACCCCGUCUCUACUAAAAAUACAAAAAAAAAAAAAAAAAAAAAAAAAAAAAAAAAAAAAAUUAGCCGGGCAUGGUGGCAGGCGCCUGUAAUCCCAGCUCCUCCGGAGGCUGAGGCAGAAUGGCGUGAACCCGGGAGGUGGAGCUUGCAGUGAGCCGAGAUCGCGCCACUGCACUCUAGCCUGGGCAACAGAGACUCUGUCUCAAACAAAACAAAACAAAACAAAACACCACGACCACAACAACAAAACUAGUCCUAGAAUCACACUCUUUGGACUUAAAUGUCAUUUCUCCAAAAAUUGCAGGUGAGAAGAAAUCAGCUGAAAAAGAAUUCUUUCAAAGACAAAAUAAGCACGAAUCCUCACCAGUAGAAAAAAGGCUUGGAAACGCCAAGGAAGUUCAUAGAAGGCAGGAUGAUUAAAUAUAAUUAAAUGCGCUUUUCCAGAAUAACCACGCUUCACUCAAAUGUCACCUGCUAACAAAGAAAUUGCUUGAUUCUCUAUCAAAAGUAGCACCUCUUUUCUUCCUUUCUUCUUGCUUUGCUCCACUGUUUUCUUCCUAGUACUCAUAGACUAAUAGCAUUAUAAUAAGAUAGGCUUCACUUCGUGUGGCUCUCAUAUGCAUGGAUUUUUCUUACUACAGUUUAGUUAGAUAGCAGGAGUCCCCCAACUACAUUGACCAAAUUUCAGUUUUCAUGGGAUAGUCACUGAGAAUAAUUACGUAAAUAAAAACUUCACCACUACCUCUUCAUUGCAUAAAUCACAAAAUCAGUGACAUUGAAAUAGAAUAAAACAGAUUUGUAGAAGAAAUAGCUGACCAUGGAAAUAUUGAUACUGAGUUGUUUCAGGGACCCUAAACACACAGCGAGAGGAAUCUAGUGAAGGCAAAUUUAUUGGCAUAAGUGAGAAAAGUGGCUAUGACAAAAAGAAUAAAGAUGUCCCAAAGGAAGUGGUGCCAGGAAAAGAAAAAAAAGUUGAAACUUUGCAUUAAAGGAAUUUCAGAGACACUUCACAUUAUGGAAAACACAAAGGAUAGCUUGAUGGAAAAUGAUGCAAACUUAGAAAGAAACAUGGUAAUUUUUCAAGGUGUAGAAACAUGUUCACUCCAUUUUGUAAAUUAUACAACUUGAAGAAAAGAACACUGUUCAAAACUAAUUCUGGUAAGUUUUUUAAAAAGCAAAACACAUUAAUUCUCAAUGUUUUUAAUAUUUUAUAGCAUACUAGGUGUUACAUUUUAUACUUUUUAUUUUCCUACACAUUUAAGGUGGGCAGUAAGACAGUUUUUAAUGUUUAGACAAAAUUUUUAAAGGUAACUGAAUAAUAAUAUUUUUUAUAUUAAUUAUUGGGGCUUUUUUCUUGUAAGGAGGAAGGGGAGUUGGCACUAUCAGGAAAAGCAAUUCUGCCUAUAGUAUACUUGUGUUUUUCUUGUUCUUUUGUUGUGCCUUUUGUCUCUC